Molecule: ribosomal RNA, 276 nt
Filed under: uncultured prokaryote
Description: partial 16S ribosomal RNA
Rfam family: Bacterial small subunit ribosomal RNA
Source: RNAcentral
UACGUAGGGGCUAGCGUUAUCCGGAAUUACUGGGCGUAAAGGGUGCGUAGGUGGUUUCUUAAGUCAGAGGUGAAAGGCUACGGCUCAACCGUAGUAAGCCUUUGAAACUGGGAAACUUGAGUGCAGGAGAGGAGAGUGGAAUUCCUAGUGUAGCGGUGAAAUGCGUAGAUAUUAGGAGGAACACCAGUUGCGAAGGCGGCUCUCUGGACUGUAACUGACACUGAGGCACGAAAGCGUGGGGAGCAAACAGGAUUAGAUACCCUGGUAGUCCCUGAG